Molecule: ribosomal RNA, 771 nt
Filed under: uncultured bacterium
Lineage: Bacteria
Description: bacterial SSU rRNA
Rfam family: Bacterial small subunit ribosomal RNA
Source: RNAcentral
AGAGUUUGAUCCUGGCUCAGGACGAACGCUGGCGGCGUGCUUAACACAUGCAAGUCGAACGGAAAGGCCCUUCGGGGUACUCGAGUGGCGAACGGGUGAGUAACACGUGGGUGAUCUGCCCUGCACUUUGGGAUAAGCCUGGGAAACUGGGUCUAACACCGAAUAUGACCAUGCACUUCCUGGUGUGUGGUGGAAAGCUUUUGCGGUGUGGGAUGGGCCCGCGGCCUAUCAGCUUGUUGGUGGGGUAAUGGCCUACCAAGGCGACGACGGGUAGCCGGCCUGAGAGGGUGACCGGCCACACUGGGACUGAGAUACGGCCCAGACUCCUACGGGAGGCAGCAGUGGGGAAUAUUGCACAAUGGGCGCAAGCCUGAUGCAGCGACGCCGCGUGAGGGAUGACGGCCUUCGGGUUGUAAACCUCUUUCAGCACAGACGAAGCGCAAGUGACGGUAUGUGCAGAAGAAGGACCGGCCAACUACGUGCCAGCAGCCGCGGUAAUACGUAGGGUCCGAGCGUUGUCCGGAAUUACUGGGCGUAAAGAGCUCGUAGGUGGUUUGUCGCGUUGUUCGUGAAAACUCACAGCUUAACUGUGGGCGUGCGGGCGAUACGGGCAGACUUGAGUACUGCAGGGGAGACUGGAAUUCCUGGUGUAGCGGUGGAAUGCGCAGAUAUCAGGAGGAACACCGGUGGCGAAGGCGGGUCUCUGGGCAGUAACUGACGCUGAGGAGCGAAAGCGUGGGGAGCGAACAGGAUUAGAUACCCUGGUAGUCC